RNAcentral lists this ribosomal RNA (482 nucleotides) under uncultured bacterium. RNAcentral describes it as "partial 16S ribosomal RNA". It matches the Rfam family "Bacterial small subunit ribosomal RNA", at positions 28 to 507 of the family's 1533-position model. The record is from RNAcentral.
GACGAACGCUGGCGGCGUGCUUAACACAUGCAAGUCGAACGCUGAAGCUCAGCUUGCUGGGUGGAUGAGUGGCGAACGGGUGAGUAACACGUGAGUAACCUGCCCUCUUCUUUGGGAUAACGCCCGGAAACGGGUGCUAAUACUGGAUAUUCACUGAUUCUCGCAUGGGGGUUGGUGGAAAGGUUUUUUCUGGUGGGGGAUGGGCUCGCGGCCUAUCAGCUUGUUGGUGGGGUGAUGGCCUACCAAGGCUUUGACGGGUAGCCGGCCUGAGAGGGUGACCGGUCACAUUGGGACUGGGAUACGGCCCAGACGCCGACGGGAGGCAGCAGUGGGGAAUAGUGCACAAUGGGCGAAAGCCGGAUGCAGCGACGCCGCGUGAGGGAUGGAGGCCUUCGGGUUGUAAACCUCUUUCGCUCAUGGUCAAGCCGCAGCUUUGGGUUGUGGUGAGGGUAGUGGGUAAAGAAGCGCCGGCUAACUACGUG